CAGCCAUGUGGUGAGCACAAAGCGAACUAUUCUUUCGCCUUUUACUAAAGAAUACCGUGUGCUCUCCAUGCUUAAGUGGCAUACGCCUAUUUUUGGUGGGUUUCCACUAACAGUGGAACC
Non-coding RNA from Brassica napus (rape), 120 nucleotides. The record is from Rfam. NCBI's taxonomy places the organism in Eukaryota, Viridiplantae, Streptophyta, Magnoliopsida, Brassicales, Brassicaceae.